Molecule: ribosomal RNA, 598 nt
Filed under: Curvularia lunata
Lineage: Eukaryota; Fungi; Ascomycota; Dothideomycetes; Pleosporales; Pleosporaceae
Description: partial 18S ribosomal RNA
Rfam family: 5.8S ribosomal RNA (bases 218-371)
Source: RNAcentral
GGAAGUAAAAGUCGUAACAAGGUCUCCGUAGGUGAACCUGCGGAGGGAUCAUUACACAAAUUAAAAUAUGAAGGCUUCGGCUGGAUUAUUUUUAUCACCCUUGUCUUUUGCGCACUUGUUGUUUCCUGGGCGGGUUCGCCCGCCACCAGGACCACACCAUAAACCUUUUUUUAUGCAGUUGCAAUCAGCGUCAGUAUAACAAAUGUAAAUCAUUUACAACUUUCAACAACGGAUCUCUUGGUUCUGGCAUCGAUGAAGAACGCAGCGAAAUGCGAUACGUAGUGUGAAUUGCAGAAUUCAGUGAAUCAUCGAAUCUUUGAACGCACAUUGCGCCCUUUGGUAUUCCAAAGGGCAUGCCUGUUCGAGCGUCAUUUGUACCCUCAAGCUUUGCUUGGUGUUGGGCGUCUUUUGUCUUUGGCCUCGCCCAAAGACUCGCCUUAAAACGAUUGGCAGCCGGCCUACUGGUUUCGCAGCGCAGCACAUUUUUGCGCUUGCAAUCAGCAAAAAGGACGGCAAUCCAUCAAGACUACAUUUUUACGUUUGACCUCGGAUCAGGUAGGGAUACCCGCUGAACUUAAGCAUAUCAAUAAGCGGAGGA